RNAcentral lists this unclassified non-coding RNA (492 nucleotides) under Hevea brasiliensis (rubber tree). Lineage: Eukaryota; Viridiplantae; Streptophyta; Magnoliopsida; Malpighiales; Euphorbiaceae. The record is from RNAcentral.
AGAAACUCAAAAAACCGACUUAUCAUCUAGAAACUUGUCGAUAGAGUUUGUAGAAAAAAUAUAUAUAUUAAAAAUUUCCCACCCCAAUUGUAGAGAAGAUUUAUUAUAUAAUUGUUAUUUUGUAAAUAUUAUUAUACAAGAGGAUAUCUAUGUCCAUUUGUAUUUUUUAAUUUCCCAUCCUUUGAGAUGGGAAAGUACUUUCCCCUGUGCAUGGAAAAUAGAGUUGGGAUCCAUAGAUUUAGGAAUUGAGCUUUCCUAAGAAUGUAACAUUCCCAUAAAAACCAAACACUAGACAUUUACAUUCGUGGUCACUUUCCUGGCAGAUUUUGGCAACAAAACACCUCCCAAGAAAGAAAUGAGAAAAGGGGAAAAACAUGACCAGCACUAUUUGAACAAGAUCUCAAACGAACUUGAACUCAAUGACAAAUAAGGGUUAAAUAAAAAAAAGGAUCAAUUCCCAGCGCUCAAGCCAUUCCCCAGUACAUGUUGUAA